AAAGUCGUAACAAGGUCUCCGUUGGUGAACCAGCGGAGGGAUCAUUACCGAGUUUACAACUCCCAAACCCCUGUGAAUAUACCAUCGUUGCUUCGGCGGAUCACCCCGGGCGCUUCGGCGCCCCGGAUCCAGGUGCCCGCCGGAGGACCCAAACUCUUGUUUUAGCAGUGGCAUCUUCUGAGUAAUUUUAUAAAUAAAUCAAAACUUUCAACAACGGAUCUCUUGGUUCUG
This 231-nucleotide unclassified non-coding RNA is filed under the name Ascomycota sp. RNAcentral describes it as "partial contains small subunit ribosomal RNA, internal transcribed spacer 1, and 5.8S ribosomal RNA". The stretch from base 1 to 47 matches the Rfam family "Eukaryotic small subunit ribosomal RNA", at positions 1785 to 1831 of the family's 1831-position model. The record is from RNAcentral. Lineage: Eukaryota; Fungi; Ascomycota.